Molecule: ribosomal RNA, 428 nt
Filed under: Pedobacter borealis
Lineage: Bacteria; Pseudomonadati; Bacteroidota; Sphingobacteriia; Sphingobacteriales; Sphingobacteriaceae
Description: partial 16S ribosomal RNA
Source: RNAcentral
GGAUGAACGCUAGCGGCAGGCCUAAUACAUGCAAGUCGAACGAUAUCANNNNGCUUGCUCNNUGRRAAAGUGGCGCACGGGUGCGUAACGCGUAUGCAACCUACCUUAAUCNGGGGGAUAGCCCGGAGAAAUCCGGAUUAAUACCGCAUAAAAUCACAGCANUGCAUARUGYAAUGAUCAAACAUUUAUGGGAUUGAGAUGGGCAUGCGUGUCAUUAGCUAGUUGGCGGGGUAACGGCCCACCAAGGCGACGAUGACUAGGGGAUCUGAGAGGAUGGCCCCCCACACUGGUACUGAGACACGGACCAGACUCCUACGGGAGGCAGCAGUAAGGAAUAUUGGUCAAUGGAGGCAACUCUGAACCAGCCAUGCCGCGUGCAGGAAGACUGCCCUAUGGGUUGUAAACUGCUUUUAUCCGGGAAUAAACCU